AAAUCAAAUUAAUCAAGACAUGAAGCAAAUGUGCAGAAGGCUGCCUGUGCACGAUGGUGCCUAUAUGUGGGAGAUGGGGGUAAUUUUUAAACUUUCUUUUGUGUCCAGACCACCUGAAAUCAGUUUUAAAUCCAGACAAUUAUGUGCUUUCCCCCACUGUGACUAGGUCACAGAAGAAGAUGACAACUUACUCUGCUGGCUUUUCCUUUGUAGGUGGAAGCAUUGCUGGAUGACGGAGUUGGUCAACUGAGUGGGGCAGAGAGAACCUUUCUCCAGGGCCACAGAUGUCUUAGUUUUGGUCUACAUGUCAAGCUGAAGCAGGAACAAAAAAGGGAAGCCUCUUUGCUAUGCAGAACGCCAUCACUUUAUUAACUCCAAACACAAGACUAAGGGCCACUUGUCUUUAAACCCUGAGUCUUGAGGCUUUAAGGAGGACACCAGCACCCUGUUCACAUUGACCUACUUUAUCUGGGAGCCAUUUCCAUUUGACAAUGAGGACAUGAAACUCAGAGGUCUCAGAAGCCUUAUAGGAGCUUGUCAACCUUUCUCCUGAGAGCUGGCUUCACUGUAUGGCUAUUCCAGCUGGUGUUAUGUGAUGGUUGUAUCAGGCCGCUGGUGGGAUAAUUCUGCAUCCCCUUAAUCAGGUGAGAGCUCUACAUGGCCACAGUUAUAAACAUUAAUGGAAAGGCCCUACCUCUCAGGUGCUCUAUUAUUUGAGCAUGAAGGGUUAUUAUAGUAAGAAAGAAGGAAUACUUUCCUGAUGGGGAUUUUCAUGCUGGUAAAUUGGCUAUUUAGACUCAAAUUCAUAUCAUUACUAAUUGGUGCUAGGAUUUUUGUUCUGAGCUGUGCAUAUGCUAAGUAGCCAUUUUCCCUCCUUGUAUAAUUAUGGAUUAACACUCUCAUUUUACCUCCUGAAAGACAGAAAUGGUUGUCUUACCUCAGGAGAAAAUACCUCACCCAGUAAUUAUAGCUGGAGACAUUGGUACCACGCAGCUGACCUUUUAGCAAGCUGUGGACAGAACCAUGAA
Molecule: small RNA, 1028 nt
Filed under: Rattus norvegicus (Norway rat)
Lineage: Eukaryota; Metazoa; Chordata; Mammalia; Rodentia; Muridae
Description: uncharacterized LOC103691517
Source: RNAcentral